AUGCAAGUCGAACGAACCUCCGGGGCAACUCGGAGGUGAGUGGCGAAAGGGGCAGUAAGGCAUGGGUAACGUACCCCCUGGUCUGGGAUAGCCUCGGGAAACUGAGGGUAAUACCAGGUAACGUGGAGGCGUCGCAUGGCGCCAUCACCAGAGGUCAGCCGCCGGGGGAGCGGCCCAUGUAGUAUUAGCUUGUUGGCGGGGUAACGGCCCACCAAGGCAAAGAUGCUUAGCGGGUGUGAGAGCACGACCCGCGCCACUGGCACUGAGACACUGGCCAGACUCCUACGGGAGGCUGCAGUCGAGGAUCUUCGGCAAUGGGCGCAAGCCUGACCGAGCGACGCCGCGUGUGCGAUGAAGGCCUUCGGGUUGUAAAGCACUUUGGCGGGGGAGGAAAGCCCGAAAGGGUCUGACCUAUCCCGAGAACAAGCACGGGCUAAGUUCGUGCCAGCAGCCGCGGUAAGACGAACCGUGCGAACGUUGUUCGGAAUCACUGGGCUUAAAGGGCGCGUAGGCGGACGACCAAGUCGGGGGUGAAAUCUUUCGGCUCAACCGGAAAAUAGCCUUCGAUACUGGCCGUCUGGAGGGAGGUANGGGCGUGUGGAACUUCCGGUGGAGCGGUGAAAU
RNAcentral lists this ribosomal RNA (624 nucleotides) under uncultured bacterium. RNAcentral's name for it is "bacterial SSU rRNA". It matches the Rfam family "Bacterial small subunit ribosomal RNA", at positions 55 to 687 of the family's 1533-position model. The record is from RNAcentral.